RNAcentral lists this ribosomal RNA (497 nucleotides) under uncultured bacterium. RNAcentral describes it as "partial 16S ribosomal RNA". It matches the Rfam family "Bacterial small subunit ribosomal RNA", at positions 28 to 507 of the family's 1533-position model. The record is from RNAcentral.
GACGAACGCUGGCGGCGUGCCUAAUACAUGCAAGUUGAGCGAUGAAGAUUGGUGCUUGCCCCAAUUUGAAGAGCAGCGAACGGGUGAGUAACGCGUGGGGAAUCUGCCUUUGAGCGGGGGACAACAUUUGGAAACGAAUGCUAAUACCGCAUAAUAACUUUAAACAUAAGUUUUAAGUUUGAAAGAUGCAAUUGCAUCACUCAAAGAUGAUCCCGCGUUGUAUUAGCUAGUUGGUGAGGUAAAGGCUCACCAAGGCGAUGAUACAUAGCCGACCUGAGAGGGUGAUCGGCCACAUUGGGACGGAGACACGGCCCAAACUCCUACGGGAGGCAGCAGUAGGGAAUCUUCGGCAAUGGACGAAAGUCUGACCGAGCAACGCCGCGUGAGGGAAGAAGGGUGUCGGAUCGUAAAACUCUGUUGGUAGAGAAGAACGUUGGUGAGAGUGGAAAGCUCAUCAAGUGACGGUAACUACCCAGAAAGGGACGGCUAACUACGUG